RNAcentral lists this ribosomal RNA (292 nucleotides) under uncultured bacterium. RNAcentral describes it as "partial 16S ribosomal RNA". It matches the Rfam family "Bacterial small subunit ribosomal RNA", at positions 505 to 796 of the family's 1533-position model. The record is from RNAcentral.
GUGCCAGCAGCCGCGGUAAUACGGAGGAUCCGAGCGUUAUCCGGAUUUAUUGGGUUUAAAGGGUGCGUAGGCGGCUUAUUAAGUCAGGGGUGAAAUACGGCAGCUCAACUGUCGCAGUGCCUUUGAUACUGAUAAGCUUGAAUGUGGUUGAAGAUGGCGGAAUGAGACAAGUAGCGGUGAAAUGCAUAGAUAUGUCUCAGAACUCCGAUUGCGAAGGCAGCUAUCUAAGCCAUUAUUGACGCUGAUGCACGAAAGCGUGGGGAUCAAACAGGAUUAGAUACCCGGGUAGUCC